CCUACGGGAGGCAGCAGUAGGGAAUCUUUCACAAUGGGCGAAAGCCUGAUGGAGCAACGCCGCGUGCAGGAUGAAGGCCUUCGGGUUGUAAACUGCUUUUAUAAGCGAGAAAUAUGAUGGUAACUUAUGAAUAAGGAUCGGCUAACUACGUGCCAGCAGCCGCGGUCAUACGUAGGAUCCGAGCAUUAUCCGGAGUGACUGGGGGUAAAGAGUUGCGUAGGUGGCAUAAUAAGUAGCUAGUGAAAUCUGGUGGCUCAACCAUUCAGACUAUUAGCUAAACUGUUAAGCUCGAGACCGUUAGGGGUAACUGGAAUUUCUAGUGUAGGAGUGAAAUCCGUAGAUAUUAGAAGGAACACCAAUAGCGUAGGCAGGUUGCUGGGACGGUUCUGACACUAAGGCACGAAAGCGUAGGGAGCAAACGGGAUUAGAUACCCCAGUAGUC
RNAcentral lists this ribosomal RNA (442 nucleotides) under uncultured bacterium. RNAcentral describes it as "partial 16S ribosomal RNA". It matches the Rfam family "Bacterial small subunit ribosomal RNA", at positions 338 to 795 of the family's 1533-position model. The record is from RNAcentral.